UCCAGACUCCUACGGGAGGCAGCAGUGGGGGAUAUUGGACAAUGGGGGGAACCCUGAUCCAGCGACGCCGCGUGAGUGAAGAAGUAUCUCGGUAUGUAAAGCUCUAUCAGCAGGGAAGAAAGAAAUGACGGUACCUGACUAAGAAGCCCCGGCUAACUACGUGCCAGCAGCCACGGUAAUACGUAGGGGGCAAGCGUUAUCCGGAUUUACUGGGUGUAAAGGGAGCGUAGGCGGUUCAGCAAGUCAGAAGUGAAAGCCCGGGGCUCAACUCCGGGACUGCUUUUGAAACUGUUGAACUAGAUUGCAGGAGAGGUAAGUGGAAUUCCUAGUGUAGCGGUGAAAUGCGUAGAUAUUAGGAGGAACACCAGUGGCGAAGGCGGCUUACUGGACUGUAACUGACGUUGAGGCUCGAAAGCGUGGGGAGCAAACAGGAUUAGAUACCCCAGUACG
This 450-nucleotide ribosomal RNA is filed under the name uncultured bacterium. Its description in RNAcentral is "bacterial SSU rRNA". It matches the Rfam family "Bacterial small subunit ribosomal RNA", at positions 330 to 793 of the family's 1533-position model. The record is from RNAcentral.